RNAcentral lists this ribosomal RNA (232 nucleotides) under uncultured bacterium. RNAcentral describes it as "partial 16S ribosomal RNA". It matches the Rfam family "Bacterial small subunit ribosomal RNA", at positions 103 to 334 of the family's 1533-position model. The record is from RNAcentral.
CGGGUGCGUAACGCGUAUGCAACCUACCCACAACUGGAGGAUAGCCCGGAGAAAUUCGGAUUAAUACUCCAUAAUGCAGGGGUACCACCUGGUACUAUUUGCUAAAGAUUUAUUGGUUGUGGAUGGGCAUGCGUCUGAUUAGUUAGUUGGUGAGGUAACGGCUCACCAAGACUACGAUCAGUAGGGGGUCUGAGAGGAUGAUCCCCCACACUGGCACUGAGAUAUGGGCCAG